AGGGAUCUUGCAACAUUUUUUUUAAAAAAAAAUCAUAAAACAAGCCCUGCACAGCUGCAUCCAGUCACUGGGUCUAAGGACAAUGGAUGUUGGUCAGUUGGGGCUGAAGAGUGAGUUGUGAUGAAGAAAAAAAAUCAACAUAAUUAAGAAAACAAUGAAUAAUGAAAAUACAAGGCAGAAAGCCUCUCAAAUUACAGUACCACCAGCUAGGCGUGUGAUCUGUGUCUUCAUCAAAAGCCUCUCGGGAGAAGGCAGAGAAGGAUCUUCUCAGUGCCUGAGUCUGAGAUCAUCUUCAGCAGGAUGAUGAAUUUAUGUGUCUACAUCAUGGAAGGAAAGGAGAAAAUGUUUAGAACAACAAAUAAAUAAUUUUAAAUAAGUAUAAUUAAGAAGAAAAUAAUUUUUGUAUCAUUAAUAAUGACAAAACAAUGUUUAAAAAGGACUAAAAUACUAGAUAAGAUGUAUUAAUAUUAUUAUAAAUGCAAUAUUCACAAGUGAUGUGGAUUUGGGUACAGUGCAAUUCCAUGUGUCAAUAUUUGUCAUCCAUUUAUCUUAAUGAUAAACUAAAUCUAAAAAUUUCUACAGAACCAUACAGACACAUAUAUAAAUACAAAAUUAUUUGACAUAAGUUGAAGGCUCUAAUAUGUCACUUAGUAAUUAUCAUUUAAAUCAUCUUAAAAAUGCCAAAAGUUAUACUAGGCAAAAUGUUUCUUAAAAGUUCUAGGACAAGUGUGUAUGUGUAUGUGAACAAGUAAUGAAAGGAACCCAUGGACUUCCUGCCACCACACAAGGGUCAGAGAGAGACUGCUGUGCCUGCUUCCUGACCCUCUAAUGUUAUGAUGCAGUCUGAGAAAGGAAGGAAGAUUGUGUGAUGGUUGGACAUUUAUAGCUUCUUGGUGGACCUAUUCUACAAACUUCCAGACCACAAUGAGUGCUGAUUACUUAGGAGCCUGCCCAAGAAUGCUGACUGAGUGUUUGGACCUUCAUCCCUAGUAUGUCUUGGGACACAGAACUCAUUUUACCAGUAAGAGGUUCAAUCUCCUCUUUCUGUAUUGAAUUUUCCAACUAUUCAAGCACGGGUCUAGCAGCACCUGUGAGGUGUCUGGUGGAAUCUGAGUCACUGCUCCCCUUAAAAAAUUUUCUUUAGUGCCAUAAGGUCUCCAUGGAGAAUUUAGAUAAGCUCUUAGCCACUAACUAUUUCCUAUCAAUCUCUGAAAAUCAUUCGGAGUCUGUAAACUAUCCUUCCUCAUUGCCAGUUCCUGAGACUUAAUAUUUUUAGGAUAUAACAUACAUCCUAAAUACUGGAAUGGUGGUUGUUUUUGUAUUUUCUCUGGGUCAAUAACUAACUCUGCUUGGAUAAGACUCUACUGGAGUUGUCCAUAUCUCUCAAGCAAAACUCCUUUAUUUUAAGGACAAGCAAGACAUCAUCCAUAUAAAUAAUAAUAUAACCUUGUGAAAAUUGAUCUAUGACAUUUCAUAUAGCCUGAGCCACUGGUUCAGGUAUAACAUAAUUGCUGGCAUAAUGUAACAAUGUUUGCCAUAUCUUGAAGCAAGAUGAUCCAAUGAAAUCUUCUCAUUGGUUCUUUGAAAUUGACUGAUGGAAUACUAAAUGCAAAUCUUUGACAAUCUGGUGUUGUCAACGGGUUAGUAUAAAAAAGUAUCCUUUAAAUCUAAAUUAAUCUUAUAGGUGUCUUUUGGUAUGGAUGUAGGAGAAGACAACAAAGGCUGUAACACUCCUAUUAGCUGCAUGGUCUCAUUAAUCUCUCUUAAAUCUUGUAUUUAUCUCCACAUUCCUAAUUUCUUGUUAAUCACAAAAAUAGAAGAAUUCCAUGGUUAAUUAGAGGGUAUAAUGUGACCAUUGUCCAGUUGUUCCUGCACUAACUGCUGGGAAGCUUUUAAUUUUUCUUUUUUUAGAGGCCACUGAUUUACCCAUACAGUCUCGUCCCUUUUAAAAAAAUUGAGUCUGCAUGGAGUGCAGGAUUUUCAAAAUGCCAUGUAGUGGCUGAAAAAAAAAGGACGCUGGAAAUUAUUGAUAGGCCACAGCCUUGUGAUAAUACAAAGAUUAGUAGAAAUGGGUUAUUUUAAGAUGUAAUAGCUAUAUAGGAAUACACUUGAGUCAUUAGCCAAGCACUGUUGUAAUUAAUAUGUUUUCUGUGUUAUUAUUUGGAUCUGGGUGAUGAGAAAAUGAAUGAGCAGUCUUUAUUUACAUCCAUGAACAAGUAUCAUUCUAUUCCCGAAAUAUCCACUGAAAUUAAUGAUGAAAAAUCAGUACUUCAUGAAUACAUAAGCUGGAAUAAAGCCUACUCUAUUACUACACAAAAGUAAAUAAAUUCUAAUGUACACUGGAAAAAUGAAACAGUACUGCAAAUUAUUUGGUAAAACUUAAAGACUGUGUUUCAUGCUACCUCAUUCAAUCUGUUUGGUUUACUCUUAGGAAUAGGGAAUACACAGAUUACCUGUUCUUUAUUCAAAACGGAAUAUGAGGCAUCCUGAUAAUCUUGAAUGGGUCUGACCUGACUCUGCUACUAACUUAACUCUUGGACUUGGAAACAGAAUAGUAGUUGGUAUUUUCUGAUAAACCUAAUUCAUGAAAAACAUAUGCUCUUAACAAUGAAUGUUGGUUAAAGCUAGAGAGGUUGCUCUAUAUCUUAUUCUCAAGGAGGAUGGCAGCAAAUGCACGUAUCUGACAAUAUGGUUUCUGAAACGUUCUGUACAUGGGACUCCUGGGGCGCUAUCCAGUGUUAUAGCAAUUCAGGCAUUCCAUGCUUAUCAAUAAGACCUAACUCCAAUCUAAUUGUGAGAGAAUCACUGUAUCCUUUAGGCCCCUGAUAACAGAAAAGGGCAGGUUUGGAUUUAUAUGUAGUUUUGAAUAUAUUAUUGGUCCCUUUGAUGCUAUUUCCCUCUGUGACGCGGGUGACAGUAUGUGUGCUUAUGUAUUGCUUGCUUAAUCAGAAGCAAAAAUUCAUAAUAUUAUCUUUAUAAUAUGAGAUGAAGUACCCAUAUAAAUGAAGAAAUAUAAGUGAACACAAUUAUCUGAUUGUUAUCAAACUCUAGUAAAACUUAAAACUAAGUAAACACACUCAUUUCUCUUGUUGUGAAUGAUGUCUUGAUUACCCUAGAGGCAAGAUGGGACUUCUAAAUUCUAAAUAUGAAAAGCAGAAGCACCCAAAACUUAUUGAACGGAACACAGAAGUGAGAAAGUUGGUCUGGCUCUUAUAUCUAUCACAUCACAUUUAAGAACAUAAAACCAAUCAAGUUUCUCAUUCAAAAUAGGAAUAUUGUAUGGAGAAAAUUACACCAUUAUACCAAGUGAGGAGGUUUUAGGGAUAACCUUUGAGUUUGAGGUAUACUUCAUAGGCUUCAUAAAAUGUACUAUGACAUCUUAUGUUCUACAAAGAAAGGGGUGUGAACAAUAUGUGCAGCAUAAUCUGGCAGUCCUUUCCAGUGUCUUAAUCUGUGUUUUUUCCAACUCAAACAAGAAAUGAUCAUCCUUCUUUGGCAAUUUUACAUUACUAAAUGUGCAUGGUCUAUAUUUAUUCACAUACUAUAGAUUUUCCCAUUUGUAUGGAACAAGUUCUAACAUGUUAAUUGCUUAAAUCUGUUAUAAUGUUGGUGUUUUCCUGCUCAUGCACUUUAUUAGUAACCAGUGAUAAAAUAAAGGUGUGAUGUGGAAGGAGCAAAGAGAAAAGGGGUUCUAUGGGAAGGAGUUAUGUUCCUGAUCAGGAAAAUCACUGAGCUGGAUUAGGUAUGAUGGAUAAUCGUGUGGGCUACACUAGUUUUCCGUUUGAACAUAUUCAGCAUCUCUGGAAUAUUAUAUAUGUAUAUCUGAAAGGUGAUGCCACUAAAUAAAAUCUACUUUAAAUAUA
Myodes glareolus (Bank vole) is the source of this 3863-nucleotide long non-coding RNA. RefSeq lists it as uncharacterized. The record is from RefSeq and is a predicted model, not a curated record. NCBI's taxonomy places the organism in Eukaryota, Metazoa, Chordata, Mammalia, Rodentia, Cricetidae.